This 465-nucleotide ribosomal RNA is filed under the name uncultured bacterium. RNAcentral describes it as "partial 16S ribosomal RNA". It matches the Rfam family "Bacterial small subunit ribosomal RNA", at positions 28 to 507 of the family's 1533-position model. The record is from RNAcentral.
GACGAACGCUGGCGGCGUGCUUAACACAUGCAAGUCGAACGGAAAGGCCCCCUUGUGGGGUACUCGAGUGGCGAACGGGUGAGUAACACGUGAGUAACCUACCCUUGACUUUGGGAUAACUUCAGGAAACUGGGGCUAAUACCGGAUAGGAGCUCCUGCUGCAUGGUGGGGGUUGGAAAGUUUCGGCGGUUGGGGAUGGACUCGCGGCUUAUCAGCUUGUUGGUGGGGUAGUGGCUCACCAAGGCUUUGACGGGUAGCCGGCCUGAGAGGGUGACCGGCCACAUUGGGACUGAGAUACGGCCUAGACUCCUACGGGAGGCAGCAGUGGGGAAUAUUGCACAAUGGGCGGAAGCCUGAUGCAGCAACGCCGCGUGCGGGAUGACGGCCUUCGGGUUGUAAACCGCUUUCGCCUGUGACGAAGCGUGAGUGACGGUAAUGGGUAAAGAAGCACCGGCUAACUACGUG